Molecule: non-coding RNA, 2531 nt
Organism: Camellia sinensis
Lineage: Eukaryota; Viridiplantae; Streptophyta; Magnoliopsida; Ericales; Theaceae
Source: RefSeq, a predicted model, not a curated record
CUUUCAUUUCCUUUCAGGUUUGUAGAGUCCUUAAUUUCACGACACUGUUUCAAAACAGUAAGCAAACCUUAAUCUGAGGGGGAGAAGAUAGAGGGUUUGAAGAGAGAAUGGGGUUGAAGGGGAAGGGUUUCAAUCGGUGGCGAGACUGGUUCUGCAGCGGCGAGACUAGUUCGGCGGCGAGACGGUACGCUUCUUUUGACUCUUCUUUCGACUCUCUCAUUCCAGUUGGUUCCUCUAUCGACUGGAUUGAAAUGGUUCCUCUAUAUCUCUAUGUUGCCCCCACCGCCAUAGCCAUAGCAGCUUAUUAGUGGUGGUGGUUGUUUUCUGCGAGCAUCAGUAAUGUCGCAGAAGCGGCGGCAAGAGGACUCCAAGGGUCGUUCGGAGGGCAAUGGGUCGGGUGAAAAGCGUCGCAAACAUCCUUCUUUCAGAAGGUUCAAUGAAAAUAUUAUCACUGACCCAGGUUAUGUGGAUAUAUUUCCGGCAUCACGUAUCCCAAAACAGUUGCACCAUCUUGUUAAGCCAAUUUAUCGUUCCACACCCAGUGCAUCUAGGGAAUCAUUAAAUUCAAGAGGUGCUAACAUGAAGGAAAAAGGAUUCCGGAUACUAACGGAGCCAAGUAAUUUGUCCUCUGUUCUACAGUGGGCAUUAGAUUCUGAGCAAUUUUUCAUCAAAUGAAAGAAAUGGUGAAUGAUUGGAUAUGCUCUAACUUGCACCAAACAAUUGGUCCAACAUAGAUGAGUUUCAACGUAUGUUAAAGCUAAGUGAAUUUCAAUCAAUGGUUGCUAGUUGCUACACUUUUUGAUUCUUAGAUGCAUAGUAGAUCAAUCUUGCCAAUAGUUGAUGGCUUACAUUUGUGAUUUAGGAUUUUUUUUGUGAGGUUAAUCAAUCCAUAUUUAUUUAUUAUAAUUUCAGUUGGUGCAUAUGCAGGUGGGCUUUCACCUUCAUGCCUGCACGUUUGCAGCAGCAUGAAGUCAAGAGAGGGAGAUGUUAAUAAGAGAACUUGGUUAGUUAGCAAAUCUCCAUGCUUGAAUUGGGGUAUGUUUAGUGUGUUUAGAAGAUGAUGGGGAUGCCAUCACUAUUUUUGAUGUUUUACGAAGCAUUUUGGUUGUCAUACCAUCAAGUUGUGAUAGGGGAUGUUAAAGAGACUUUCAUCUUAUGGUAAAUUUAUAUGGUUGAAUUAGGAUCACUUUAACAAGGUAGAAGAGUCAUCCUUGCUUUUCGAAGUUCUUCUAACGGCAACUAGAAUCCUUUGUUUGAUUUUAAUUACUCAGCCAACACUCAUGGUUUAUGUUCCUAUAUUUAGGAUUCACUAUUUGCAAAAUAGUUGCUAUAUUUGUGUGAAUAAAUGAGUAUUUAUUUUUGAGUAGUUUGAGUAUGGGAGCCUAGUGGUGGGAUGCAACAAGUUAAACUUCCUACUUGCAUAGCACUUGAAAUCAAGGGAAUUUUUAUUUAUUUAUUUUCGGGGUAUGCUGGUGAAGAUCCUUAUCCUCUUCAAUGUUGAAAAUGUUACAUAGAAUUAUUUUAUUGCUUCAUCAUUUGACUAGCAAUCUGUUGCUUAGUUUCUUAAUGUACUCUAGUUUUGUUCUCAUUCUUCCUCUAAACCUAUGUGUUUAGCUUGCUUAAAAUCAUAAAUCAAAUGGCAUGUAAUGGCCUUGUUUGAUAACUUUUUUUAAUAGUCUUUUCCCCCCUGAAUGUUUCUUCUAGAGCACAUCAUGUAUCCCAAAGUUCACAUUGCACUAAGAAUGUCACGUCAUCUUCGACUGGGCGUUGUUCGGAUAUAUUCAAAGAAAGUCAACUAUCUGUACCAAGACUACAAUUUUUUUCUGAUAACCAUAAGAAAAGCAUUUGCUUCUGCAGAAGUUAAUCUGCCAGAUGCAACUCAUGCACCUUUUGACUCUGUCACUUUGCCAAAACGUUCAAACUUGAUGCCUUGAAUUUGGAUGAUGACUUCUCUUAUGACGGGGCUCAAGAUAAUCAUCUCUGGAGCGAGGUGGAGAUAACACUUACAUGUGGGAGCAAUAAUGGGACCGCUGAUAACUACUGUUGUCAUUGCUCUCAAGGAUUUGUAUGUUGAAUUUGUUUUGGAUGAACUGAAGGAGAGUGAGACGUAGAGCGCUGCUGGGCAUGCUUUUAGUGCUUGCUUCCUGAGAAAUGUUCAUCGCUUCCUCAAAAACGCGUGUACAUUAUUAGUUGAGCUAAUUAGAACCCAAAAAAGAAAUAUCAGAAUUGUUUGCUUUAGAGUGGAUGUGUUUUUACCAAUCUGUUGGCAGUGCAUUUAUCAAGUUUUGUUGGCUGCAUUUUCUCUUUAGGACAGUCUUUUUGUUUUUGUUUUUAUUUUUUUUCUUCUAUUUAUGGUGUGAGCAUGAUGUAAAAAGUAAUCGAUCAAUCAUGUACUCCCUACGCCUGUAUGUAUACCUGACUGCUGCCCAAACCCCCUACGCCUGUAUGUAUACCUGACUGCUGUUGUAACAAAUGCCAGCUUGUAGCCGUCGGCUAUGCUGUUCCCUAUGACAACAAUCCAUUUUGCUCUA